RNAcentral lists this ribosomal RNA (40 nucleotides) under Levenhookia leptantha. RNAcentral describes it as "partial 26S ribosomal RNA". The record is from RNAcentral. RNAcentral also lists the same sequence under 1 other name. Lineage: Eukaryota; Viridiplantae; Streptophyta; Magnoliopsida; Asterales; Stylidiaceae.
CCGCGAUCCCAGGUCAGGCGGGAACACCCGCUGAAUUUAA